UACAUGACUCUCGGCAAUGGAUAUCUCGGCUCUCGCAUCGAUGAAGAGCGCAGCGAAAUGCGAUACGUGGUGCGAAUUGCAGAAUCCCGUGAACCAUCGAGUUUUUGAACGCAAGUUGCGCCCGAGGCCAGCCGGCCAAGGGCACGUCUGCCUGGGCGUCAAUC
This 164-nucleotide ribosomal RNA is filed under the name Corallorhiza striata var. vreelandii. Its description in RNAcentral is "5.8S ribosomal RNA". It matches the Rfam family "5.8S ribosomal RNA". From Rfam's summary of the family: 5.8S ribosomal RNA (5.8S rRNA) is a component of the large subunit of the eukaryotic ribosome. It is transcribed by RNA polymerase I as part of the 45S precursor that also contains 18S and 28S rRNA. Lineage: Eukaryota; Viridiplantae; Streptophyta; Magnoliopsida; Asparagales; Orchidaceae. The record is from RNAcentral.